RNAcentral lists this long non-coding RNA (698 nucleotides) under Pectinophora gossypiella (pink bollworm). RNAcentral describes it as "uncharacterized LOC126379322". The record is from RNAcentral. Lineage: Eukaryota; Metazoa; Arthropoda; Insecta; Lepidoptera; Gelechiidae.
CUUGUGUUCAGAUUGUUUUAAGUGAUAAUUUAACAAUAUUUUUCCAAAUAAAUGGAAAGAAACUUUUAUUUAUAUCAAAUAAUUGAGUGUCUCGACUGUGUGACAUUAUGUCUUGUGUGGUAUGGGGCUGCAGCUCACAUUCAGGAAGAAAAGAAAAUAGCCAACAACUUCUGUCGUUUCAUCGAUAUUAAAUCCAAAAGUGUCGACUGGAUUUACAUGAAAAGUCAGUUCAAGAAGACGAGAUGAAAAAUUUAAAAGAAAAGCUGAACAAGUCCCGCCUCAAGAUCAAACGACUUAAUGAAAAAAAAAAAACAAUGUGACAGGGUGUCACAAAGACAGUUUCUAAGCAAAUUGACACUGUUUAGAAAUUAAUAAAUUUGUAUUUAUUGUAAAUAUAAUGUACAUAAUUAAUAACGUGUGAAAUAAAUACUUGCUAAUGAAAAUGAACAGAUUUACGAUCUAAUUUAUAUUUCAUUUUACCUCCUGUUCUUAUUUACUCCUACUCCAACACUCCAGGUUGAUACGAACUGCGCCCAAUAAAGAAUGUAAUGAAUGUUAUAGAUUUGUGUAAGCGACUUAGAUAAAUCUUGACUAAACCUUCCUUUACAAAUACAAAUAUACUUUAUUGCACACAACAUACAAUACUUACAAGUUUUACACGAAAGAUACAGUACACCACCUACCUACCUUUUACUUUC